Molecule: microRNA precursor, 63 nt
Organism: Oreochromis niloticus (Nile tilapia)
Lineage: Eukaryota; Metazoa; Chordata; Actinopteri; Cichliformes; Cichlidae
Product: oni-mir-2187b
Source: Ensembl
UUUAAUUAGUACAGCCUGUAUUAGUAAUGUCAUCUAUUCUUUACAGGCUAUGCUAAUCUAUGC